GGACCCGCACAAGCAGUGGAUCAUGUGGUUUAAUUCGAAGCAACGCGAAGAACCUUACCAACCCUUGACAUACUAAUUAAGAAUCGUGGAGACACUUUUUGUCAGUUCGGCUGGAUUAGAUACAGGUGCUGCACGGCUGUCGUCAGCUCGUGUCGUGAGAUGUUGGGUUAAGUCCCGCAACGAGCGCAACCCCUGUCUUUAGUUACCAUCAUUUAGUUGGGUACUCUAGAGAGACUGCCGGUGAUAAACCGGAGGAAGGCGGGGACGACGUCAAGUCAUCAUGGCCCUUAUGGGUUGGGCUACACACGUGAUACAAUGGCAUCUACAGAGGGCCGCCACUCCGCGAGGAGGCGCUAAUCCCGAAAAGAUGUCUCAGUUCGGAUUGUUCUCUGCAACUCGAGAGCAUGAAGUUGGAAUUGCUAGUAA
RNAcentral lists this ribosomal RNA (426 nucleotides) under uncultured bacterium. RNAcentral's name for it is "bacterial SSU rRNA". It matches the Rfam family "Bacterial small subunit ribosomal RNA", at positions 917 to 1341 of the family's 1533-position model. The record is from RNAcentral.